AAAUUGAAGAGUUUGAUCAUGGCUCAGAUUGAACGCUGGCGGCAGGCCUAACACAUGCAAGUCGAACGGUAACAGGAAACAGCUUGCUGUUUCGCUGACGAGUGGCGGACGGGUGAGUAAUGUCUGGGAAACUGCCUGAUGGAGGGGGAUAACUACUGGAAACGGUAGCUAAUACCGCAUAACGUCGCAAGACCAAAGAGGGGGACCUUCGGGCCUCUUGCCAUCGGAUGUGCCCAGAUGGGAUUAGCUAGUAGGUGGGGUAACGGCUCACCUAGGCGACGAUCCCUAGCUGGUCUGAGAGGAUGACCAGCCACACUGGAACUGAGACACGGUCCAGACUCCUACGGGAGGCAGCAGUGGGGAAUAUUGCACAAUGGGCGCAAGCCUGAUGCAGCCAUGCCGCGUGUAUGAAGAAGGCCUUCGGGUUGUAAAGUACUUUCAGCGGGGAGGAAGGGAGUAAAGUUAAUACCUUUGCUCAUUGACGUUACCCGCAGAAGAAGCACCGGCUAACUCCGUGCCAGCAGCCGCGGUAAUACGGAGGGUGCAAGCGUUAAUCGGAAUUACUGGGCGUAAAGCGCACGCAGGCGGUUUGUUAAGUCAGAUGUGAAAUCCCCGGGCUCAACCUGGGAACUGCAUCUGAUACUGGCAAGCUUGAGUCUCGUAGAGGGGGGUAGAAUUCUAGGUGUAGCGGUGAAAUGCGUAGAGAUCUGGAGGAAUACCGGUGGCGAAGGCGGCCCCCUGGACGAAGACUGACGCUCAGGUGCGAAAGCGUGGGGAGCAAACAGGAUUAGAUACCCUGGUAGUCCACGCCGUAAACGAUGUCGACUUGGAGGUUGUGCCCUUGAGGCGUGGCUUCCGGAGCUAACGCGUUAAGUCGACCGCCUGGGGAGUACGGCCGCAAGGUUAAAACUCAAAUGAAUUGACGGGGGCCCGCACAAGCGGUGGAGCAUGUGGUUUAAUUCGAUGCAACGCGAAGAACCUUACCUGGUCUUGACAUCCACAGAACUUUCCAGAGAUGGAUUGGUGCCUUCGGGAACUGUGAGACAGGUGCUGCAUGGCUGUCGUCAGCUCGUGUUGUGAAAUGUUGGGUUAAGUCCCGCAACGAGCGCAACCCUUAUCCUUUGUUGCCAGCGGUCCGGCCGGGAACUCAAAGGAGACUGCCAGUGAUAAACUGGAGGAAGGUGGGGAUGACGUCAAGUCAUCAUGGCCCUUACGACCAGGGCUACACACGUGCUACAAUGGCGCAUACAAAGAGAAGCGACCUCGCGAGAGCAAGCGGACCUCAUAAAGUGCGUCGUAGUCCGGAUUGGAGUCUGCAACUCGACUCCAUGAAGUCGGAAUCGCUAGUAAUCGUGGAUCAGAAUGCCACGGUGAAUACGUUCCCGGGCCUUGUACACACCGCCCGUCACACCAUGGGAGUGGGUUGCAAAAGAAGUAGGUAGCUUAACCUUCGGGAGGGCGCUUACCACUUUGUGAUUCAUGACUGGGGUGAAGUCGUAACAAGGUAACCGUAGGGGAACCUGCGGUUGGAUCACCUCCUUACCUUAAAGAAGC
This 1554-nucleotide ribosomal RNA is filed under the name Escherichia coli O113:H21. RNAcentral's name for it is "bacterial SSU rRNA". It matches the Rfam family "Bacterial small subunit ribosomal RNA". The record is from RNAcentral. Lineage: Bacteria; Pseudomonadati; Pseudomonadota; Gammaproteobacteria; Enterobacterales; Enterobacteriaceae.